This is a long non-coding RNA of Harpia harpyja (harpy eagle), 2454 nucleotides long. RefSeq lists it as uncharacterized. The transcript is spliced from 5 exons. Lineage: Eukaryota; Metazoa; Chordata; Aves; Accipitriformes; Accipitridae. The record is from RefSeq and is a predicted model, not a curated record.
GCAAGAAGCACCCACAAACCAUGGACUUGGAUUGUAAGAGUAAUUCUGUGGAUGGGAUCCUCAUUUUCCACCCUGCAUUCAGUACACAAAUAAAACGCUGGGGAAGGAAGGGGUCCAAGCCACUUCGGUGCUUAGCCAAGAUCCCAAACCGUCCUUGAGCUCCUCGGCAUACGUAGCUGAUGCUUGUUUUCCCUACAGCCUCUGGGGGUAACUAAAAGCAGCGGGAGCAUGGCAUAGGAUACUCUGAUCGUGAUUCUUCUCCCGAGGAAUAUCUCCUCCUUUCUCCUCAUUUUGCUUAAAGUGGGAAUGGACACGGGAAUCCUCAUCAGAGUGAGAAAUCCUCAGCCCUCGAAAUUCCUGAUUCUCCUGUAAUCAUUUCCACUGGGCAGCAGCUCUAGACACCAAAUAAAUGAUUUAACAAUCACGGUGUGGUUUAGAAACGAUAUACCUGACCAAAGUGAAUGGAAGGAUCCUUCCUUCUUGUUCUGCAUGCACUUUCAUGGUGCCCCUAAAUGAUUACGGCAGAAGAUAGGUCUCAAAACAUUCUAAAAGCUGAAGCCUCAAUUUUGAAAUGAUCCACAUAGAAACCAACUCCCGUUCUCUCUUGGGUUCUUGUGAAGUAAACAGGCCACCUUCCAGCCUCUUCCCCUCUCAUGCCUUCUCCCUCAGGCAAAGCGUCUCUUCUGUCUAGCAACCUCUGGAGACAUUUGUUACGGUAACAGAAUAGUCCAGGUCACGUCUAUCUACUGACAAAAGAAUAAUCAGCGCUGUUGGCAAAAGUCCCGUUCUUCCAUCUAUUCAUUUUGCCCUCUUUAGAUUUUGCUUGAACUCGUUAUUGUGAAGAUGCUGCCUUGACAGCUCCUUAGACUGAAGUCCUCUUCAUCCACAGAAGUGGUACAGCAAAAGUAAUCAAGAUGAAAGGUGAGGAUUUUGCCUUUCCUAGCAUGCACUGUCCACCUGGAUUCUGACCUGGAAGGACUUCCGUGACUUGCAACAUUGGUUAGGCAGAGCCAGGUCAAAGAGUUUCAGCACAUUUGAACUCUGACUCCCAAAGGAUGAGGACAAAAUAACGAGCACUGUCCUAUCAGUAAAGGUAUCUCGUGACUCCGUCACUCUCACCACCACAGCUGACGCACCUGAGAAAUAUAUUCGCAGGGAACAAAAAUUCAGACCUCAGCUUAGGACGGGGCAAGGGACAACCUGUAAGGUCUGCAGUGAAGAGUUAGCUCUCGGCAGUGACCCUGCCACAGGGAAAACCUCAGCACUGGGAACCAAUUGCCUGCGCUGGCUCUCAUAUUCAGAUCUCUGUCGCUAUGCUGGAACUGGUCAUUGCUUGUCAAUUAAUGGCAACAAGGUAAUUCUCUUAAAUUCUUGAAAAUACUUUGAAACGUGCAGUUUUUGUAAUUUUUCAGUUUCUUUUCCAAAAGUAGUUAAGGUCCCAAUCCUACAAAUUGUUCUCUUCUGAAUAAAACUCUGAAUUUUUCUGAAACCAUUGAAGCAUCUGCAGUGUGGAAAAUUUGGCUGGGAUGAAAUUCCAUGCUCUUUUUUGUCAGUGGAAAAGUUUUGCUUUUCUGGUAAUAAAGAAGCCUGAGAAAUACCUGAUUGUAAUCAGUUGAUGGUAGCUUAUUUUAGCAUACUUUAAUUGUUAUGCCUGCACAUUUUGUUUAAAAUUUCAGCAUGCAAUAGUUCAGGCACAAUAGUUCAGCUGCAGGUCUCCAUUUGGAGAAUGAUAGAAAAAUCAGCAUUUCUUCAUAUACUUUUACCAGUUUGUCUGUAAAAUAUGUUUUUCCUCCUCUCAGAAUUAACAUGUAAUACUCUUCUUUGCUUCAAAAAUAUUUUUUGUGCAAGUGUAAGCAUGAAAUCUAGAAACUCUAUAAACUGGACCUAGAGCAGAUCGGUGGAUGUAAUGUCCGAAAUGGCUGUUCUGCCACUACAGGUGAAAGACUAUUUUGCCUGCAGGGCAUUAUUUGAAGAGCUGGUGCCUAGACUGUUAUUCAUAAAUGAGUUCACAAUGAAAUCAGUAAUUUUCAAUAUUGAGGGCUUUCUGCUAAAAAUUAAGCAGGCUGUCACUUUGAUAUUAGACUUGCAGUAUAAGCGACAACAAAAUGAAGAUAGCAGGGGAAAAAAACAUUAAUCUUCCAAAAAGUUACUAUCUCUUUUUUUUUUUUUUAAUAAUAAGCAAGAGGAAUUUCUUUGGUUUUUUAAAAUGCUUCUCAGUUUUUAAAGUCUCACUUUGCUAGACCGGUAUCAGUUUGACUUAUUUCUAUUUUUAUAUUACCCUCCUGAAUAUUGCAUUAUAGAGGAAGGAACAAAUUAUCUGAAAUGCUAGUCUGAGAGGUAAGGAAAUACUAUCUCUCCUCUUCUGCCAAUACGUUUUCAUUCUAUGCAUUUGUGACCAUGCUUCGAAAACUGGGUUUUUCACUUGCAUAUGAAGAGCUUAAGUAUUUUUACUAG